GUAGUAAAGUGCCUGCAUGUAAUACACCUGCAUGUAUUUUAUUUUGUGUAAUAUUACAUGCUUAUUUGAUCCCCAAUCCUUAAAAUAAAAACUAACACCCAUAACUACUUAAACGUGUAAUAUUUGCUGUACAUUCGAUACAAUAUUCAACGCAACCUUGUACACAAGUUUUACUGUCAAUUUUCGUGUAAAAUUAUCGACGAAUUCAUUUAGCCGACUUUGACAGAUCUCAUAAAAUCCCAGUGCCAUCAGUUUCCUUCUGUCAGGUGCAUCGCGAUCGUAUUUCGAGUUGCCCGAAAUGGUGAGUGAGAGCGGUGAGAGCUAAACACCCGCAGGAGUGAGCCUCAUACCCGGUUCUAAUCUGUCGGACAAAACACGACUGGUCUUCGGAGCGUCGAUCUGAACCGGCGGACUCGGUACGUGACAUCUAAACAGCCGCAGACAGCCGCUGACGGUCGUUGCCGGUGGAAAUGCCCAGAUUGUCAACUUACUCGCGGAAGCCAUUCAUCGACUCUUCCAAAGGAGUGAAUUCUCCCAACCUCCAGGCCGUGCAUCAUACCCGGUUCAAAUCUUCCGGACACAACACGAACGGGCUUCGGAGCGUCUUCCUGAAACCGGCUAACUCGGUACGUGACAGCUAAACACCUGCAGACGGACGCCAAAGAGUUUCAACCGCGAGACGGAGUAAGUUCUCCCAACCUCCAGGCCGUGCAUCAGUCCCGGUUCAAAUCUUUCGGACAUAACACGAACGGGCUUCGGAGCGUCCUCCUGAAACCGGCGAACUCGGUACGUGACAGCUAAACACCUGCAGACGGACGCCAAAGGUAAAUAUGAUCACCGACACCAAAACCCUCGCGAGGCCUUGCUCAGAACUGACAACUAAACAACCGCAGAAGUAAAUUCCCCCAACCUCCAGGUCGUGCAUCAUACCCGGUUCAAAUCUGCUGGACAAAACUUGACCGGGAAGAUGAGCUCCCGGUGGGCUUCCGACUAAGCUGCAACGUCGUCGGGAUGUGGAAUUUCCCCGGAAGCUGCACGCUCAUCUCCCCGAAGCAGUCCAUCGGCGCCGCAUGGUGUCGAACGAAGAUGAGUUCCCAGUGGGCUUCCGGCCAAGCUGCAACGUCGUCGGGAUGUGGAAUUUCCCCGGAAGCCGCACGCUCAUCUCCCCGAAGCAGUUCAUCGGCGCCGCAUGGUGUCGAAUGAAGGUUAGCUCCCGGUGGGCUUCCGGCCAAGCUGCAACGUCGUCGGGACGUGGACUUGCCCCGGAAGCUGCACGCUCGGCGUUGAAACGUAACAAAUCAUAAUUGCACCACUAUCGAAACAAGUUGGCCAUGUUGACUUCAAGGCGCGAAAUAGUCGGAAGCUGGACAUCUUCCCAAAGCAGUCCAUCGGCGCCGCAUGGUGUCGAAUGAAGGUUAGCUCGCGGUGGGCUUCCGGCCAAGCUGGAAAGUCGUCGAGAUGAGGACUUCGCGCCUCCCCGUCGGAGACUGCUCGAUCAAAAUCGGUAUCCAGGACGAGUGAAAAAGUGAAACUUUUUAACGACCUCUUAAGAAGAAAAAUGCUCAUUCAGUUGGAUUAAUGUCGGUGGGAAUAAAUUUCUUCGAAAUGCAUUGUAUUGUUGUGUUAAUAAAACUGUUUUUUUCAGCAUUUUAUUUUGCUUGUUUUUAUUUACAUUGACGACUUUGACAUGAUAACCAAUUCGAUACCUAUGCCUGGUUUCAAAAUAAGGAUUUGUGUAAUAUUACACGUUUUUUUUGUACAUACAUGUGUGUAAUUUUAAGUGUUUAUUUUGACCAAGGUGAUGUGCAUGCUUUUGCAUGCGAUUUUACCAUCGGAUUUUUU
This is a long non-coding RNA of Culex pipiens pallens (northern house mosquito), 1842 nucleotides long. RefSeq lists it as uncharacterized. The transcript has 4 exons. The record is from RefSeq and is a predicted model, not a curated record. NCBI's taxonomy places the organism in Eukaryota, Metazoa, Arthropoda, Insecta, Diptera, Culicidae.